CGCGGGGUGGAGGACCGGUACCUCGGCGGUCUCAUAAGCCGCAGGAGCGGGUUCAAUUCCCGCCCCCGCAA
RNAcentral lists this transfer RNA (71 nucleotides) under Candidatus Terrybacteria bacterium RIFCSPHIGHO2_01_FULL_43_35. RNAcentral describes it as "tRNA-Met". It matches the Rfam family "tRNA". From Rfam's summary of the family: Transfer RNA (tRNA) molecules are approximately 80 nucleotides in length. Their secondary structure includes four short double-helical elements and three loops (D, anti-codon, and T loops). The record is from RNAcentral. Lineage: Bacteria; Candidatus Terryibacteriota. RNAcentral also lists the same sequence under 2 other names.